UGACGUCACGACCCGCUGGCUCCUCCAUUCACAUCUUCCCCUCCCCCGUGCCGUGAGGUCUCCCAUCACAUCUCUUCCUCCUCCUCUCCGAUCUCCCCCGCGGCCGCCCAAAGGAGCCCCAACCCUAGACCCGCCUGCGCGCCCAUUGCCUCCGGUCGCCGCUCAGCUUCUCCGUCACUCCCGCAAGUGAAGGAACCUUAUGAGCUGGUUGGCUGGGGCUCUACUCCAAUUCGGGUGCUACUAAGAUGGGUCAGGACCUGAUCAGCAACAAGUUUGGGACAAGACUAACCAUAGAUGAAGUAGCAGGCGCCUACCACUUCUCGCUUCUGCUCUCCCCUGUUGUUUCCUUCUGGGAUUGCAUCUUCCGCAAGAUAAGAUACUCACUGAGACCUGAGUGGGUGUAGCAUCUUGCGUUCACCUCCUUUUUUUGCAGUAGCUGGUUUGCAAAUAAAUAGACAGGUGCGGGUCUCUUAGGAAACCACCUAGCAAGGAGUCCAAAACAAUGAACUUUGAAGAUUUUGUCUUUCCCUAAUUUUAUAUAGACAGUAGAGGAGUUUAGCUGAGAUAGUAAAUAGCGGGCACAGUUGUUAUGGACAAGACUAUCAUGAGCAAUCAGGCAGGCAAAGUCUUGAAGAAAGGAAAAAAGAAACAGGCCAAGGAUGAGCUGGAUCGCCAGAAGCAGGCUGAGAAGAAGAGGCGCCGGCUAGAGAAAGCGCUGGCAAACUCGGCUGCCAUUAUUUCAGAGCUGGAAAAGAAGAAGCAGAAGAAGAAAGAAGAACAGCAAAGGCUGGAUGAGGAAGGUGCUGCGAUAGCUGAAGCAGUCGCUCUUCAUGUUCUCAUAGGUGAAGACUCCGAUGAACCCUGCCACUUGAUGCUAAACAAGCAUAAAAGGUGCAGCCAUUGGGAUCCCUCGGCUGGCUUUGAAUUCACCGUGGAUGCACAAGCCGCUGAUAUUUAUUCUUCAGAUGGACUGAUUUGCACCAGCCAUGCAUAUGCUCCCAAAGGGAGGUGGGCUGAUUGGGGGAUUGGCCAGCCACUGCCAUCUUGGGGAGAAGUGAGGGACCUCCAAGUCCAAGGCCCCUACUAUCAAGGAACAUUCCAUCAGUCAGUCAACUGCCCUGGUUUCAUAGCAGCCCAAGCAGUGUCGUCGUUGCAGAUCAGAGAAGACUCGUCAGAAAUCACAUCUCCAAGCCAAGGAGCGGCAGCUGCAACUGUGGUUAACAGGAUGCUUGGUGGCGCCAACAGGCUCAACCUUUACAGAGAGAUAUAAAAAUACACUUUGUCAUAGCAUUGUAUAUAGUCACCAAAAAAUGUGUUGACUACGUUGCCUGCGAUAUAGUCUUCUAGUUUCAAAACAAAUGGAUAGAACAUCUUGUUUGCUGUUUUGUGAGUGUACUAAACUUGGUAUUUUGUAUCAGUUAACUUGGUAUUGUAAUGAACAUAUAUGGUUUUGAUUUCCGUUGCUUUUCUUGCCAAGUGUCGUGAUUGGGAUGCUUCUGUAUUCUUGGCUAUGGUGCUGUUGACACCGUUUUUUGACACGUGUCAAGUAUGGUGAUUUUUGUGAAGGGAAGGUGGCCGAUUUGGAAGAAACCAAAAGAUGCACAGGGUUGGAAUCGGCCGAUGGAGUCCGUCCGAUAGGCCAGAGGAAAAUAUGCUUUGAAGAUAGCUCUGGUAUCCGGCCGAUGGAGAAUUGCCAAUGAAGUCAAGAAAAGAGGUCAAAUUGACUGGCACGCUUGGUUGACUUUCCGUGACUCGGUGAACACUUGCCCUCGGAUUCCAGUGUGUUGAUUUUUGCGUCAACAGGUGCUACUCUCUCUGAUUGCUUAUGUUUGAGUAUGUUGUAGGAGCAGGCAUAUUUAGGUUGUGAGACGAUGCAGAUGUUAAGCUUGUUUUGUCCUCGUAUAUAGUACCCCGUCUGGCUAUGGUGCUAAUUGCUUAUGUUUGAGUAUGUUGUAGGAGCAGGCAUAUCUAGGUUGUGAGACGAUGCUGAUGUUAAGCUUAUUUUAUCCUUGUAUAUAGUACCCCGUCUGUUUUAUCACAAAGAUUUGCCUGUGGAGUAUGGGCCUGAUAGUAACUAUGGCCUUAUUUAGAUCACUUUGCAUUUUGGAUUUUUGGAAGAGAAUAUUCAACAUUUGAA
This is an RNA transcript of Panicum virgatum (switchgrass), 2137 nucleotides long. RefSeq lists it as uncharacterized. The transcript has 3 exons. Lineage: Eukaryota; Viridiplantae; Streptophyta; Magnoliopsida; Poales; Poaceae. The record is from RefSeq and is a predicted model, not a curated record.